RNAcentral lists this long non-coding RNA (554 nucleotides) under Androctonus crassicauda. Lineage: Eukaryota; Metazoa; Arthropoda; Arachnida; Scorpiones; Buthidae. The record is from RNAcentral.
AAAAAAAAAAAAAUCCGAAAGAAAUUAGUAGCAAUUCAAACAUUAAAUCAAGACCUGUAAUGGAUAAGAGAACAAAUCGGUAUAAGAUAUAAUGGUAUCAGUUAAAAGUAAUAAAUGGCAUUGCAAGGUAUGUCGAGAUAUAGCAAUUGCUGGACAAAGAAUGGCAAUCAGGACAAAGAAAAUAUUAUCCUGAAUAAUACAAACGUUAGAAAGUUGAGAAAGCAGUAUGUUCCAAUGGAUUCAGAUGGCAUUAAAAAGAUAAAUAUGGAAAUAAAGAGGCGUAUACUAUAUAUCCAACUGUGGAUAAAAAAAUGCAAGUAAAUGUUAUUUAUUUAAAAUCGAAUAUUUUUACAUGAAUUUGCUACAAAUGUUUAUAAAUAUCUCUCUGAGAAUGAAAGAAUUUUUCGGUUAAAAUCAGAAAGUGAUUGAUCUCUUUUCCGGUUUUAUGGAAGCGCUGUUUCUUAAACCAUAACGUAACGAUCGGUAUUGAAUACAAUAUGUCUACUUACUUAUUAAUCUGGGUAUUAAUUAUAACUUAUUAAAAAUAAUUGUCC